GACGAACGCUGGCGGCGUGCUUAACACAUGCAAGUCGAACGAAGUGGCGAACGGGUGAGUCACGCGUAAUCCACCUGCCCUUCAGAGGGGGACAACAGUUGGAAACGACUGCUACUACCGCAUACUUAAGGUGGGGAUUGCGUCUGAUUCGCUAGUUGGCGGGGUAACGGCCCACCAAGGCGAUGAUCAGUAGGCGGUCUGAGAGGAUGAACGGGCCCAAUGGGGCUGAGACACGGCCCAGACUCCCACGGGAGGCAGCAGGGGGGAAUCGUCCGCAAUGGAGGAAAGGCUGACGGAGCAACGCCGCGGGAGGGAUGACGGCCUUCGGGUUGUAAAGCUCUGUUAAUCGGGACGCGGUACCGGAAUAGAAAGCCACGGCUAACUACGUGCCAGCAGCCGCGGUAAUAC
RNAcentral lists this ribosomal RNA (408 nucleotides) under uncultured bacterium. Its description in RNAcentral is "partial 16S ribosomal RNA". It matches the Rfam family "Bacterial small subunit ribosomal RNA", at positions 28 to 526 of the family's 1533-position model. The record is from RNAcentral.